This is a long non-coding RNA of Monodelphis domestica (gray short-tailed opossum), 2072 nucleotides long. RefSeq lists it as uncharacterized. Lineage: Eukaryota; Metazoa; Chordata; Mammalia; Didelphimorphia; Didelphidae. The record is from RefSeq and is a predicted model, not a curated record.
ACUAGUAACUACUCUACCUAAUAAACAAGCUUCCAUUUCUCAUGCCAUGUUUUUCUUUUAGAACUGUGCAUUUGUACAGAAUAUGUGAUAACAUGGAACCAUUUUGAACUUCGAGAUAAAAUCUCCACUGAAGAAAAUGAUCAGCAAAGAGGAAGUUGCCCAGCAGAAAUGAUGACGGACGCGCCAUCGUACAAUAAGGUUCUUCAGAGGCUGGUAAUAGCAACCUGUCUGCUUUGAGAGGUGCGAAUCUAUCAGUAUCCAGAAUCAUGCUCUGAAAAAGCUGUCAUUUCAUGUCUCCAAAACAGUCUCUGAUUUAACGUAUGAGAUGUCAAGAAGGAAAGGACAAUGAAAGAAAUACCAAAGAGAAGAACUAUUUCAAUUAAGAAGCAUUUCUACAAUAGUUCUUGGAAAUCACAUAAAACAAAGCCUGUCAGAUGCAAUCUGUGUUUAAAAGGUUGGUUCUGUUAAACUUAAAAAUACCAUGCAGGAUGAAAAAAUACACAUCAUUAGCACAGAACAAAUGAACUUUAAAAACUCCUCACUACAUUCUAUAUUUUACUAAAAUUCUCUAAUGAAGAUAGGAAAAAUGCUAUUUCAGUGAAAGGGGCAAUGAGACUGUCAAGGAGGGGAGAGAAUCAUAUCGAUCUGAAUGUAAUCUACAGACAUGUAAGAAGAAAUCGUUUUAUGUGUUUUUCUAAAAUUUUUUAAAUUCUCUUUGCUGCUAAUAAGUAAAAGCCUUUUACAUGAAAUUACAAAUUAACCUUUUUGGAGGGUGCCAUUUCCCUAUGUUGUGGGGUCAUUUUUUUCAUAGAAAGAUAACUAAAACUCUCUCCUAUCACCUCAGUAAUCAAAAACUAUAAGGAGAGUUUGAAAAUAUGUAUUAAUUUUCUAACAAUCUUCUUGCAACAACAGCAUUAGUGCAUAGUGAUAAAUGUCAUAAAGCAAUGAGGUAAACCUAUGCCCACAGUAUUGUUAUACAAGACCUCAUUUCUGUCCCCCCAAAAAAGACCCACCAUCCAAAUAAUAUUCCAAAUAAUAUUGUUUAUUAAUUCAAAUGAAACAUGCAUAAUACUUCUGACCAUUCCUCUACUUGAAAUAUUUCUUAUCAUCUUGUGGGUUUUCAGUUCUCAUUAAUUAUUGAAAGGGCUAUUGGGCUAGUGAAAGAAGAAAUGAACUCACUUGAUGCCCCAUUGCUUUAUCAGUUUCAGUGACACACAGAAUCAAGUCCUUCUGAAGGGGGAUUUUUAAGGAGAAAAUACGCUCCCUCAUCAUGAAAUCAAGAACUUUUUCCAAGUGAGUCUUCUGAAGGCAAUAAGGACAAAGUACUCCAGAGCUUCCUUCAAUCAAAGGAAAGAGAAUCUCCUUAAUACACUUUAAGAAUCUAAAAUUCCAUUGAUGCCUCUAAAAAUAAACAUAAGGAAAGAGCACCAUUAUUGAUUCCCUGCAAACCAAGGAACAUUGUCGCUUAUUGAUAACACUAAACACCCUCCAAGCCUUUAAUGAUUUCUUAACAAAAAGUCUGCCACUGAACAAAAGUUUGAAUCAUCAUAUUAAUAUAUUAGGGCAAAAAAAAAUUAUCAUGGGAGGCACUUGGAAAUUAAUUAAAACCCAGGAUUCGUUUGUUUGUGAGGCAAGAUAAAUAUCACACAUGGGAAAAGAAGUCUAACAACCUCCAUAGUUUUCAGAGCCAAAAUUAGGUUCUGACAGCUAUGUCUCUCUUGUAUGACUCUCCUUGGGGUAUGUUAUACAGAUAUAUAGAAUAUGAAGAUUUUUUUUGAUAGAAGUAUUUAUUACUGACACUUCCGAAACAUUCCAUGGGUGGCAUCAGCAAAGGAUGCUCAAAGUCAGACAGAAAUGUCAGAUUUUCUUCCAGGAUUUUUUUUUUAAUUCUCCCUUCUAUUUCUUUCCCCUCCUUCCCCGCCCCCACCCAUGUCUCUUUCCCUCUAAAUGUCAAUUUCUUUAGAAGUUCAACAGCGGCCCCUAGUGGACGUCCUCAAUUCUCUUUUGAGCUUAACCCAAUUGUUUGAGCUCCCUCAUUCCAUAAUGUGUAUUAAAAAAAAAAAAGGAAAUUA